Prinia subflava (tawny-flanked prinia) is the source of this 7181-nucleotide long non-coding RNA. RefSeq lists it as uncharacterized. The transcript is spliced from 4 exons. Lineage: Eukaryota; Metazoa; Chordata; Aves; Passeriformes; Cisticolidae. The record is from RefSeq and is a predicted model, not a curated record.
GCGGGACUGGGCCGUGCCGUGGCGCCCGCGGGGCGGGGGCUGCGCGGCGGCGCUCGGGGAGGAGCGGCCCGGCGGCAGCGCUGCCGCGGCCAAGGCAGCCGGACACAGGGAUGCCAGCCCUGGCAUUUCAUAGAUAAAAAUGAUAGAAUCAUAGAAUAUGCUGAAUUUCAAGGAACCCUUCAGGAUCAUCAGGUUCACUUCCAGGGUCUGCACGGGACACUCAAAGAAUCACACUUCUUGAAUCUGUCAGGCUUGAUGAUGUGACCACUUUCCUGGGGAUCCUGUUCCAGUGCCCAAACACCCUCUGGAUGAAAAACCUUUUCGUAAUAUUCAAUCUAAACCUUCCUGACUCAGCUUCAUGCCAUUCUGUUAAGUCCUGUCACUGGUCAAGCGACUGCAGAGAUCAGUGCCUGCCCCUCUGUUUUCUCUCAUGAGGAUGUUGAUGACCCCAAGGAGGUCUCCUCUCAGGCUGACAAGCUCCUCAUCCAACUUCCCCUCCAGACUCUUCACCAUCCUCAUGGCCCUCCUCUGCAUGCUGUCUAAUAGCUCCAUGUCUUUCCUAUAUUGCAGUGCCCAAACCUGCCCCCAGCACUGGAGGUGAGGCUGCCCCAGCUCAGAGCAGAGCAGGACAAUCCCCUCCCUUGCCUGGCUGUGAUGCUGUCCCUGAUGCCCCCCAGGACAGGCUUGGCCCUCCUGGCUGCCAGGGCACUGCUGCCUCGUGUUCAACUUGACACUGACCAGGACCCCCAGGUCCCUUUCCACAACACAGCUUUCCAGCCUCUCAUUCCCUAGUCUGUACACAUAGCCAGUGUUGCCCCAUCCCGGGUGCAGACUAUGGGAUGUUAAAGUUCAUGGUCCUCCAGCUCAGGGCACUGAGACCCCCUUGGUUCAUCAACUGCGUUGACAACAGAGGCAAAGAAUGCAUUAAAUGCCUCUGCCUUGUGUUUGUGAAGUCACCAUCCUCAUCCAUACCCAAACAAAUCCAUAGAAAAAAUUAACAUAUAGGCAUGUAUUCUGGAAAUGUGAUGAAUAUGUAUUAGUUUCAGGAAUAUAGACUGGUCUUUUAGGUUACUGAGCAUCCAUGCUGUCAGGAGAAUUCCACAUGCCUCUAGCACUGCUAAUAAAGAAGUGUCAACUUUCUAACCGAACAAAUUGAUUGGAGAGUUUAUUGUGUGGUUUUCAGUGACAACCUAACCUUGCUUUCACUGGGCACAGACAUUCUGGUUCUGCCUAUCUGCAAAAGAAAAUUCCUGUUCAGCCAAAUUGGCCUCUGCCUCAUCUGUUUGACUUCUGAUAUUUUGAAAUUUCCUGCUGCUGUGCCCUUACAAGGCAACAUUUAAAAAGUAAGCAGCACUGCAAAAACAUUUUCCCAGGGUACUUUACUCAAUAGUUUCCUGAGCAGCAUGAAGCCUGCUUCUCUCAUGUGCAGGGUUGGAGUUUUGCUGGCACUUUUCUUCCUGUCAACAGAGAUUUUAAUCUUGAUCACUUCGUGGUUGCUGUGGCCAAGACAUCUGCCAGUCUCCGCUUUGCUCACAAGAUCCUUUCACAAUCACCAGAUCAAGGAGGAUGUCUUUCCAAGCUGUCUCCCUUAGGAUGCGUUCCCUAAAGUUGUCAUCCACGUAUGCUGGGAAUCUUCUGUCCCGGUUUGUACCUCGGUUAAUUUCUGUCAAGUUGAAGUUCUCUAUGUGGACAAAGGCAGUUGACUUGGAAGUGUCCCUUCCUUCCUCAAAGAAUAAUUCAUUGGCGUCAUUGUCCUGGCCAGGAUGUCUAGAGUAGACUCUCACAGGGACAUGGUCAUCUAACGCCUCUAACCCAGAGGCUCUCAACUGUGCCAUUGCCAACUGUGGGCUCCAUACACACUGACCCCUCUAUUACAUGCAGUGCCACCCCAGCCUCUUCUGCCCUGCCUAUCCCUCCUGCAGAGCCUGGAACCAUCCAACAGGGCACUCCAGUCACAGGACUGGAGUCACAGGACUCAUUCCAACAGGUUUCACUCGUGCCAGUGAUGUCAAAUCUCUGGGAUACAGCGAAAGCCUUGAGCUCCUCCUGUGCGUUCCUCAUGCCCUGUGCGUUCCUCAUGCUCUGUGCAUGUGGUACAUACAAUGCAGAAACAUUUCAGGUGUGGUACAUUGUAGCCAACACCUCCUAGAGCAGAUUGAGGGAUCCAAUCAGUGCUCAUUUCCUCAAGUUCUGGCACAGCAACCCAUUUCUCCUCGCUGGUGAGAGUGGUUUUGUCCUCCUGCCAAGGUAGUUAAAAGCUCUGUCGCUGGCCUCCUUACCUCCUGUGCUAGAGAUCUUUUCCCCUCUAAGACAGGUGCAUCCUGUCAGAUGUCAGUAGAUAAGACGCUGAGUAAAUCCUCUCAUGGUAAAAAACCCCCAAUUUUUCCAAUUAUACCCACCUCUGAGCCACACAUUGAUUUCAUAUAUCUGCCUAUUGAAUAGUGUUCUGUUUUACUAGAAAGAUCGAGGAAGCCAGUACUUGUGUUCCUGUAGUGAUUGAGUGAUAACAAAGCAUGGAAAUAGUAAAUAUUAGAAUUUCUCACUCCUAUCAACAAUGCUAGGGCAAUUUAAGAAAGUUUUAUUCAGACAGACGCAUCCUAAUGACAAGGUUCAGAGUGAGCAUUUGUUACUCACUGAAAAAUAUAGUUAAUAAACAAAAUGUGGUAAAUGUUGCAUAAGAUUUUUUUUGUUAACAUCCCAUUAGAUAAAGGUCUCAGCUGAUGUUAUGUAUUCAAAAGGUAAGGGAACAGAACAAAUUUUUCUACCGGUGUCUAGAAGUUAAUUUAGAUGGUUGUUGUACAGACAUCUGUAACAAGAAAAUAACAAAGAAUUUUAAAACUUGGCUUAAUACUUGCAAUUAUGCAGUUGCAAAUUUAGAACAACUAUAUAAUCUCAUAUUAACAAGGAAAAAUGUAAAGUGGCCAUUUUUCAGCUUUUUUUUUUUUUUUUUUGUGGAAUGAUGUAACUGAAUCUGCUAGACAGUUAGUGAUCCAUUUUCAAAGAUGCAGGAUACCCAUGUAAGUUUCACAUUAAAAAAGGCAGACCUAAGGAAAGCAAAAACACCCCAAAAAACUAGGUUUCAGUCUUCCAAGAAGUUUCAUAAGAGCUAAAAGGAUCUGUAUUUAAGUUCAGAGUGAUAUUUUUCCCUUUUCAAAUCUGUAAAUGUAAACCAUGUGCAGUUUUAAUUUACAUUUUAUUACAGUUUUUUCUAAAAUUUCUGCUCUGUUCAUAUUCUCAUUUUGAUCAUAUAAUACACAGAAUUUCAAGAAAAGCAAUUUCUAAGCUAAUUUUUUCAUAAGUAAUUUUUUGCUUUUUUCAACAGAUAUUUUUGUUAUACUAAGGUUACAUUUUGUAGGGACAGAUACAAGAAAAAUUUUAAAGUGUUUUGUUAUGUUUUUAAUUGGUCUGAUGGUUUUACAGAACCAUCUGGUGUAAAUAGAUAAGGAUGUGACUAGGACAAUUAGGAUAUAGGAGUUUUUAGUUAAUUUGAACAUAUUAAUUGUAUUACUUGAAAGUGAUGGUACAAAGUGUUUGAAUUCAAUUGCCUAAAAAUAGGCAGCUAAAACGGUCUUAAAUAAAUGUUGGGGGUUAGAUUUGGUUUGGUUUUUUUUUUUUUUUUUUUUUUUCCCUCUUCUCACAGAAUUUUUUCCCAUAAGUUUCCAAGAAGCUUUAAUGACUACUUAGUCAGGACAAAAAGAGUGCUUAAGGGAUAUGGCAGCACGAAGCUACACCUAUUGUUUUUGAGUCCCUGGGAGUGUCCCUCAGACGGGAGAGAUGAUGAGCUUUGGGGAAAGGCAAAAAGACAGAUCUGGGGGAGGGGGAGGCACUCUUGCUCUCAGCGCCGAGGAGGACGGUCAGGCUGCCCUCUGCCUCUGUCUCAUCCUGGGAAAUCUAUCGUCAUCUGCUGUGUACCCGGGAAUCCUGAACUCGCUUUCUCCAGCCUCUCCCCCCACCGCCGCUGCUUCUUCGGACCUUUGAGGCUCUCCUGCUACUCUGUAGCCCUGCACUGCCCAGCCCUGCCGGGACACCCCUGCUGUUCCAGCUGCCAGCGCAGAGCUCCUCAUCUCAUCCACCAGCCCGGGACUUUUUCCUUCCUUCCAGUUCGGCCUCUCGGAGUCCUGCAGGGGCACCCAGAUCAAACUGCUCUGGGCUUUUGUAAAAGAAAGCCCUCAAGGUCUAUCCAUCACAGCCUGGUUGGAGAAACUGCUCUUCCUGUAUAUUAUAGAGCCAAAAUAUGAGGAAGGCUUGUGACAGAGGAUAAUAAAGACCUACAGACCCCAUUCAAGAGCGUGUUCCUGCUGUUGUCUACAAAUUCUUUUGUGUCUUUACUGAAACCACAGAUAGUGUAUUUUAGCCUGUGUUCCAUAGCAUUUAAGAUGGAUUACUGAUCACUGAGAAAUUCAUCUGCAAUUCUGGAUGCCUUGGAAACAGCAUAUGCUAGCAACAGAAGGAAAAUUUGGUCUUUACCUGCAUUGUGAAAUAGUCUGAAGACAAUAAUUGUUGGAAAAUUGUACAGUGUCAUGUACAUUUUGCACUGUUUUGGGGACAGGGGCAAUUCUGCUUUUGGACAGCAUGUAGCAUAUGAAAAAGUCUUGAGAGGAGGCAUCAUCAGAAAGUAAAAGUCUGACUCUCAGUGUCUUUUACUUGGUCUUUUUCAUUUUUUCCCUGUUGCAACAUACACUGGAAAUGCAGUUCUAUUAGAUUUCUACUCACUUUCUUGUUUGUUUUUACCACCAUGGACCCUAACAGACAAGUAAAUUCAUGAUAUUUUUUCAUUUAAACAUAUAUACUUCAGAAAUAGGCUGUUUACAGUCAGUCAUAAUCUUGCAAUGGAAAUCAACAGGGAAAAGCUAUGAUUAAGGUAUUAUUUUUUUCUAUUUUUUAAUAUAUUUGAAAAUUAUAUUUUAAACUUAAAAACCAAGUUGUUUCUAUGAAAUGUGGUUAUGUAUAUUUCAUUGUCUCAAGAUUUCUUAGAGAAUGAUCUAUCUUCAUCUACCCUAUUAACCUACUGCUUUUUCAAAAUUUUUACUUUCUCACUGUUCCAUGUACUCAGCAGUACAUUAAAGAAAAAGUAAAAUUCAGUGGAAAGAACCUUAAAUGAGCUGUUUUGCAUUCAUCUUGCAGAGUUCAGUCUUUUAGAAAUCCUUUAGAUCCUUUGCAGACAAAGUCUUUGUUGAUAUUGCUUGAAAUGAUUAUAAAAUGGAGUUUUGAGAUUAGUCUUGCGUGUGUGUAACACAGCUCCUAAUAAUUUUUCAUGUCUGUCUACUCAGAAUACUUUUUCCACGAAUACAACUUUUGAUGUAAUUCAUGUGUACGUUUUUCUGUAUUUUCAAAUAAAAUAAACAGUUCAUGUUGCUUAAACACAUCUCUUUGGUUGGAUUUCUGGUUAAAAUAUUUGAAUUAUUUUAAAUUGCCAUUUCUAAACCUUUUAGGCUCCUCUUUUUAGUCUUGAUCUCUUUUACUCUGGGUAAUAUGGUGAUGGCUAAAGUCUAAGAGUCUGUGCAGCACUGUGCUAUAGCAGUAGAAAAGUCAAAAUAGCACAGCACUUCUUCAUUUUCAAUGAAGUUUUUUUAAACAUUUGGAGCCACAUGAUUUAUGACAAGAUUAUGUUCAUCGCAGCUUUGAGAGCUGUGAAUUUACUUCAGUGUAUCACAACUCUUCUGGAAAUCUGCAGGGUGGCAAUGGUGAAAUACAAGGUAUCUCUGGCAUUGCUUCUUCGCAACCAGGGCAGAGCUGAACUGCUCAUUGAUCAUUUCAGAGAGUAGUGAAGCAGUGUAGACUUUCAGUGGAUACCAAUCCUGACAGCUUUGCUUCUUUCCCUGAGUUAAUUGAGUGCAGUUAGCAGUUUGUUGCAUUUAGCUGCAGGUCCAGCUACAUUUCCAUGCAAGGGAGUGUCGAUACCAGACGAAUUUCAGGUAAUCACCCAGAAAAGUGGUAAAUCUGCCCAUGGACAACCAUCCUUCUCUCCAUUAGCUCUGAGUCUUUUCCCUGACCUCUAAACACUUGCGAGAAUACCACAUAGCACUGUACAAGGGAUCACCUGUGCUGACUGAAGGACUGAUGAGUCUUGCUCCCACUUUAGAUGAGACAAAAUCAAGGACUGGACUCCAACUGUAACACAUAGUCUCUUAAGAGCAUCCUACAUGGGAAUUUAUUUAACCCUGCUUGCUUGUGAAUAAUUAAUGUAAAUCUGGCUUCAGGUUUGUAAUGGAUAUAGCACAAUAGAGAGCAAAAAGGCAAAAAACAUUAACUUUGGGCAUUGAGUGUGUCACAUACAUUCUUGAGGACAGAAUUAGUCCCACUUUACUUAAAAGAAAGCAAAAAGAGAAAUGUGUAUUUGAGAGAUGUUGUACAUACAACAUCCUAGGAAGGUGAAAGCUAUGUCAACAAUAUCAAACAAUGUGCCAUCACUUAGCCAGGGAACCUACCUCUGUUCAAUUACAUUCUACCAUAUGAGCUAGCCCAAAGCCAUAUAUUUUUAUGUUUCCCUUUUCACUGUUAUUUUCAUCUCCAUGCCAUUGGGUUGAAGAGUAUCUUGGGUUGCAAUGUGUCACCAAAAAUGUGUAUUCUGUUUGCCAUGUGUUGAAACUGGUUGGGGAGGUUUGUUUUUGGUUUUGUUUUGUUUUGUUUUUUUCUUUUGUAUAACCCAUUCCUCAUAACUCCAGGAGGAAGGGGGCGGGUGCCUUCUGUUAAUAGGCCAGCUGUUAAAACCAGGUGGAGCAACAUUCCUUAUCUCUUCCAUCACCCAUCCUCUCUCCAGGGGGAUAUCUCCUGUUAAUGAGCAGUUAAGGCUCACCACAUGACUGAUAAAAUUAAAUUGUGAGAUGCUCCACCCAGUGGGAAGAGCCAAGCAUUCCUACCUGGAUAUAAUCUGAGAGUCAGAACACCAGACAGCCUGUUCCCACUGGAUUCCCAGAGGAAGGCCAGACCCAUCUUGCUACGAUUGGACCCUUCUACAGGAUCAUCUCUACUCCAACAGAACCACAUCUGUUACUCCAGAAGGAUUGAUUUGGACUGCUUCCAAUGCCCCGGCCAACAGUAUUCUGACUCUAUCAGGAUUUCUAGGAUGUUUGUUUGUUUGUUUGAUUUUUUUCUUGUUUUUUGUUUGUUUGUUGGAGGGGGCGGUUGGUCAACUACAUUUGUAUUUUUAAUAUUUUAAGUAAAAUACUCCUAUUCCCAUA